Long non-coding RNA from Oncorhynchus keta (chum salmon), 860 nucleotides. RefSeq lists it as uncharacterized. The transcript is spliced from 6 exons. The record is from RefSeq and is a predicted model, not a curated record. NCBI's taxonomy places the organism in Eukaryota, Metazoa, Chordata, Actinopteri, Salmoniformes, Salmonidae.
UCAUCGUCAUCCAGAGAUAGGGGCAGGUAGAGAUCCUACAGGGAAAAACAUGGAGAAUCAUCGUCAUCCAGAGAUAGGGGCAGGUAGAGAUCCUACAGGGAAAAACAUGGAGAAUCAUCGUCAUCCAGAGAUAGGGGCAGGUAGAGAUCCUACAGGGAAAAACAUGGAGAAUCAUCGUCAUCCAGAGAUAGGGGCAGGUAGAGAUCCUACAGGGAAAAACAUGGAGAAUCAUCAUCAUCCAGAGAUAGGGGCAGGUAGAGAUCCUACAGGGGAAAACAUGGAGAAUCAUAGUCAUCCAGAGAUAGGGGCAGGUAGAGAUCCUACAGGGAAAAACAUGGAGAAUCAUCGUCAUCCAGAGAUAGGGGCAGGUAGAGAUCCUACAGGGGAAAACAUGGAGAAUCAUCGUCAUCCAGAGAUAGGGGCAGGUAGAGAUCCUACAGGGAAAAACAUGGAGAAUCAUCGUCAUCCAGAGAUAGGGGCAGGUAGAGAUCCUACAGGGGAAAACAUGGAGAAUCAUCAUCAUCCAGAGAUAGGGGCAGGUAGAGAUCCUACAGGGAAAAACAUGGAGAAUCAUCGUCAUCCAGAGAUAGGGGCAGGUAGAGAUCCUACAGGGAAAAACAUGGAGAAUCAUCAUCAUCCAGAGAUAGGGGCAGGUAGAGAUCCUACAGGGGAAAACAUGGAGAAUCAUAGUCAUCCAGAGAUAGGGGCAGGUAGAGAUCCUACAGGGAAAAACAUGGAGAAUCAUCAUCAUCCAGAGAUAGGGGCAGGUAGAGAUCCUACAGGGGAAAACAUGGAGAAUCAUAGUCAUCCAGAGAUAGGGGCAGGUAGAGAUCCUACAGGGAAAAACAUGGAGAAUCAUC